RNA transcript from Carya illinoinensis, 5000 nucleotides. It is a transcript of the gene named pentatricopeptide repeat-containing protein At1g03100, mitochondrial, with no coding region annotated. The record is from RefSeq and is a predicted model, not a curated record. The transcript has 7 exons. Lineage: Eukaryota; Viridiplantae; Streptophyta; Magnoliopsida; Fagales; Juglandaceae.
GCCCGUGUUAAGACUCGAGCCCAACAUUUUUUCUCUCUCUCCCUUCCUUUCUACCCCUCGGCCCUCCUUCUCGCCCGCAGUCACACAGACCGAUUCCUUCUGCGCAGCCCCUCGCCACCUGUCUUUCCCGUCGUCAGUUUCCACGCCACGCCGGAUAAACCCGUGGAGGCCUUAGGAGCUAGCCGCAACGCCUCAUCUUGCCAAGUGCCUCAGACCACCACGAGCCAUCUCUAGGCGGCCGCCACCCUCUCGAAUUUGACUGACCGCUGCUCUGAGAUUGGGUUGUAAUAUUGCCACGGUUCGGGUUCAAGGCUUAGAUAGUACUCUCCAAAAUUCAGAUAUUGAACGAUUUAUAAUACCAGAAUCAUUGUUAGCGUUUCCUGUCUGGGCGAGAUGCUUUCUAUAAGAAAGAUUAAGCACCAGAUUACUGUGAAUUCCUCUUCUGCUUUAUAUCUCUUACUUGCUGCCAGCAAUAGCAACAUGAAUCGAGUAUUUAGAUGCAAAUCUCAUGGUUAUUGGCGUUGCUAUUCUCUCUGCCAGUUUGUUAGCUCCACUUUGACCUGCUUGGACACUCACACUGUUGUCUUGGGAUUACUGAAUAGCUUUACCCUUCAACCUAAGUAUUCAUCAACAAUGGCUGGAAGAAUUUUGGUCCAGGCUCGAGACCCAGCUAAACUAACUAUGGAUAUACAAAAUGCAAUGGACGAAGGUAGAUUUAAUGACACAUGGAAAUUAUAUGAACAGCAUAUGCAGAUGGAGGGUUUUCCUCGGAAAUCUGUAGUGAACAAGCUUCUAACAAGUUUUGCAGAAAGCCUUGAUGUUCAAUGGCUUGAGAAGGCUUAUGGAUUAGUAGAGCAGGCUUUCGAGGAAGGUAAACAGACCUUAUUUGAAAAGGAUCCACUUGUAUAUCUCUCUUAUGGUCUUGCAAAAUCUGGAUUACCAGUUCUUGCAUCAACAAUUUUAAGAAAGUUGGUAGAAAUGGAAGAGUAUCCCCCUGUUUCUGCUUGGGCUGCAAUUUUGGCCUUCAUGUCACAAACAGCUGCUGGUGCUUACCUUGCUGCUGAGAUAAUUCUUGAGAUGGGUUACUUGUUUCAAGAUGGGAGGGUGGAUCCGCGUAAAAAGAGUAAUGCACCUUUGAUUGCUAUGAAACCUAACACCACUGCUGUCAACAUUGCUCUGGCAGGGUGUCUUUUGUUUGGUACGACUAGGAAAGCAGAGCAACUCCUUGACAUGAUACCUCGAAUUGGUGUCAAAUAUGAGACAAACUUAUUGAUCAUUAUGGCCCAUAUAUAUGAGAGAAAUGGACGAAAAGAAGAGCUGAAGAAGCUUCAAAGAUAUAUUGAUGAAGCUCAUAACCUAAGUGAUAUUCAGUUUCGGCAGUUCUACAAUUGUUUGAUUACAUGCUACUUAAAAUUUGGUGAUCUAGAUUCUGCAUCCAACAUGGUUUUGGAAAUGCUCCGAAAAGCAAAAGAAGCCAGAAAUUCUCUUGCUGCAGCCACACUCUUAUAUGAUACUGCUUCAAGUGGGAAAAAAUCUCUGCCUGCUGAGGCUUCUGGGCAAAGUUUGAGUCAGAAGCGAUCAGAGGGUUCGGAGAAUAAUAGAUUAAUUAGAUAUGAAGAGUUUUCUAGGGACAGGAAUUUCCUGAAACUUGAAGCUGAAGCGAAGCAAAUGCUUGGUACGUUGUUGUCUAAGUUGCAAAUGCAAGUUGAAUUGCUUACAACCGAAUGUGGAGUUCUUCAACCAACUGAAAGAAUUUAUGCAAAACUGGUAAAGGCUUUUCUAGAAGUUGACAAGACCAAGGAUUUGGCAAAAUUCCUCAUCAAGGCUGAGAAAGAAAAUUCCCCAGUUUCCAGUGAUAGCUCAGCCUUGGUUCAUGUUAUUAAUUCAUGCAUUUCACUUGGGUGGUUAGAUCAGGCACAUGACCUGCUUGACGAGAUUCGUUUUGCUGGGAUAAGAACUAGCUCUUCCAUAUAUUCCUCUCUCUUGAAAGCGUAUUGCAAGGCAAACCGAGCAGGAGAGGUGGCAUCGCUUUUAAGAGAUGCUCGUAAGGCUGGCAUCCAGCUAGAUUCCAGCUGUUAUGAGGCGCUUAUGCAAUCCAAAGUGCUUCAGAAAGAUACACAGGGUGCCCUCCAUCUAUUCCAAGAGAUGAAAGAGGCUAAAAUACCACGAGCUGGCCAUCAAGAGUUUGAGAUGCUAGUUAAGGGAUGUGAGGAUGGUGGUGAGGGAGGGUUGAUGGCAAAGCUCUUGCAGGAAAUUAAGGAAGGGCAGAGAUUUGAUAGUGGAGUGCAUGAUUGGAACAAUGUAAUACACUUUUUUUGCAAGAAGAGAUUGAUGCAAGAUGCUGAAAAGGCUCUGAUGAAGAUGAGGAGUUUGGGGCAUCCCCCCAAUGCUCAAACUUUUCAUUCCAUGGCUACUGGGUAUGCAGCUAUUGGGGGAAAAUAUGUGGAGGUGACAGAGUUGUGGGGUGAGAUGAAGAGUCUUGCCUCUUCUGCAUCAAUGAAGUUUGAUCAAGAACUUCUGGAUUCUGUGCUAUAUACAUUUGUCAGGGGUGCAUUUUUUGUUCGAGCAAAUGAAGUUGUGGACAUGAUGGAAAAAGGAAAGAUGUUUGUUGACAAGUACAAAUACCGAACUCUCUUCUUGAAGUACCACAAAACACUUUAUAAGGGCAAGGCCCCUAAAUUCCAGACAGAAGCUCAACUGAAAAAGAGAGAAGCAGCAUUGACUUUUAAGAAGUGGGUGGGCUUGUGCUGAGGCAAAUCAUGGUCUAUUACACACCUUGUUUUGGACAAUAAUCUGGUGAUUGUUGACUCCUUCAUUUGUGCUUGAAGUUAAGAGGUGAAGUAUUUGAUGAAGAGUCCACAGGUUAGGUGUAGCUUAUAAUGACUAUGGCAAGACCAGACUUAGUUUUAGGUUAGGAGUAGCUUAUAGAGACUAUGGCAAGACCAGACUUAGUUUUAUUCAAUUAUCAAUAAGUUGUUUAUGUAUUUUCUUGUUAAAUAUGGAAUGUUUUGGAAAGCACAAGAAUGGUUUUUUUAUUUAUGAAAAUUUUAGGUUUUUUUUUUAAACAUUUAUGGGAUCUUUUAUUCCUGGCUCGUAUGUGAUGUUAUGUUAGUUACAUUCCUAAUCCUAGGGGAACGGACCUUACAAUUUUGGUAUCAAAGUCCAGGCUAAAGAGAUUCUGUAUAUUUUGAAAUCUAAAAAAAGAAAAAGAAACCUAGGACUAGGUCUACCUGGGGUAUAUUCUGGCUUGCAAAGAGUUAAGUUAGAAUUGAUUGUUGUUAUUUUCUGUUUCUUUGUCUCCCAAUUGCUAAAGCUACUCAAUGUAGGCAUUUCAAGUAUGGCACUUACUACUAGGAAUCACCCAAACGCACACCAAGAUGCUCCCUUGAUGCGUGCAAUGAGGAUCAUAGGAGGGCUCUGGGGGAUUCUGAAGCCCUUGCACAUGUGGCCACAAGCCUAAUUGAGGCUUUAAUUAACGGACCAUCUGUGGAUGUUGGACAGCCACAUUUGGGAAGUAACUUUGAUCAAUUCUGCCACCUGCAUCCCUCUAUGUUCAAUGGCAAAGCUGAUGUUAUGGAGUGCGAUAACUGGAUGAACAGGCUGGAGAAAAAUUUUCAGGCCAUCGACUGAACUGAGGAGCAAAUGGUUGAAUUUGCCACAUACAAUCUGGCUGAUGUGGCUGAUGAGUGGUGGACCUUCACCAGAAAGCUGAUAAAGCAAGAGCUUGGUGAAGAAACCCCAAUUACCUGGACAUGAUUUAAGCAGGUAUUCAGGGACCGAUUCUUCCUGAGGUCUUUAGAGAGGCCUAAGAGUUUGCAGAUUUGAGACAAGGGACUAUGUCAGUGACUCAGUACAACAAUAUGCAUCCUGGCUCAUCGAACUUUCACGCUCUGCCCCCCCAUAUCCGAUCCCAGAUGAGUCACUGAAGGCAUUCUUGAUAGAUUAAUCGCACUGAAGUUAAGGAAUUUUCAUGAAUUAGUGGACAGGGCAAUUAUCUUGGAGGAGAAUCUGCUGUUGAGGGUGGAACAAUUUAAUAAGAGAAAACAAACAGAUUACUAAGCAAAACUAAAGCAACAAGCCCUUCCAGAGCAGUGGACAGAGGCCACCACUGAACAGUAGGCCACAACAGAAUGCUACUGGACAAUGUACGUGUCAGACUUGUGGCAAGAUGCACAAGGGGAAGUACUUGAUGGGAACCAACACAUGCUUCAAGUGUGGGAAACUAGAACAUCUUAUUCGAGAUUAUUCACAGAUAUGUACACCCCCCCAUUAAUGAAUGGUGAGCAGAAAACUGCUCCAGAUCAGGCCUUUCUCCUCACUCCUUAUGAUGCCAAGAUGACGAACGUUGUGUUUGAAGGUGCUCUCCAUUAUUUUCUUGCCAGGAAGACAGCAUCACACAUGGUCAGACUAUAUAGGCAAGACAUUCUUUGUUUGCGUUGCUGUUUGGAAGUCUUGAGGGACUGAAGCCUUGGUGACCCAAAGAUUCGGCAGAUGAAUCUAGAGUUUCUCCAACAGAAACAAAUGUAUCUAAAAAGUAAAACCAUUCUUUUAGAUCUCCUGCAUGAAUGUCUUAUGCAUUAGCUCCAGGCAACAAGCAGCUUAGGGUUCGGCCCUCCAUCUUACCUAGUUUAUAGGAGAAAGCUUUCUGUUUGAGGGACCCAAAAAACUUCAGUUACAAAGUUUAUCAAAUCCAGAUGUUGCGGAGGAAGAAAUCGCAUCUGUGACAGACCUUCUCACCCAGCAAGCGAAAUCCAUUAAAGGAAAGUGUCAAAGGCCAUCUCAUGAUCGGUGGGAUUUGGAAAGGAGUUGGGGAAGAUGACCUACUUGCCAUAGAAUCUGAGGUAAGAAUUUUGCUCUAAAUCACAUUUAAUAUUGUCCGAGCAGUCAAGUGUGGACAGACAAUCUGAUGAGUUGUGGUAGUAAUUAAUAUGCCUAGAAACAGUUGUAUUCUGAAAUGUGCUAAAACUAAUAAAUUAAUCAACAUGGAAAUUGUUUUAUUA